UACGGAGGGUGCAAGCGUUAUCCGGAUUUAUUGGGUUUAAAGGGUGCGUAGGCGGGGCAUUAAGUCAGUGGUGAAAUCCUAUAGCUCAACUAUAGAACUGCCAUUGAUACUGAUGCUCUUGAAUACACUUGAAGUAGGCGGAAUGAGUAGUGUAGCGGUGAAAUGCUUAGAUAUUACUCAGAACACCAAUUGCGAAGGCAGCUUACUAAAUUGUUAUUGACGCUGAGGCACGAAAGCGUGGGGAUCAAACAGG
This 253-nucleotide ribosomal RNA is filed under the name uncultured bacterium. Its description in RNAcentral is "partial 16S ribosomal RNA". It matches the Rfam family "Bacterial small subunit ribosomal RNA", at positions 524 to 776 of the family's 1533-position model. The record is from RNAcentral.